This 500-nucleotide unclassified non-coding RNA is filed under the name uncultured Glomus. RNAcentral's name for it is "SSU rRNA". It matches the Rfam family "Eukaryotic small subunit ribosomal RNA", at positions 591 to 1092 of the family's 1831-position model. The record is from RNAcentral. Lineage: Eukaryota; Fungi; Glomeromycota; Glomeromycetes; Glomerales; Glomeraceae.
CCAAUAGCGUAUAUUAAAGUUGUUGCAGUUAAAAAGCUCGUAGUUGAAUUUCGGGGUUAGUAGGUUGGUCAUGCCUCUGGUAUGUACUGGUCUCACUGAUUCCUCCUUCCUGAUGAACCGUAAUGCCAUUAAUUUGGUGUUGCGGGGAAUUUGGACUGUUACUUUGAAAAAAUUAGAGUGUUUAAAGCAAGCUAACGCUUGAAUACAUUAGCAUGGAAUAAUGAAAUAGGACGUUCGAUCCUAUUUUGUUGGUUUCUAGGAUUAACGUAAUGAUUAAUAGGGAUAGUUGGGGGCAUUAGUAUUCAAUUGUCAGAGGUGAAAUUCUUGGAUUUAUUGAAGACUAACUACUGCGAAAGCAUUUGCCAAGGAUGUUUUCAUUAAUCAAGAACGAAAGUUAGGGGAUCGAAGACGAUCAGAUACCGUCGUAGUCUUAACCAUAAACUAAGCCGACUAGGGAUCGGAUGAUGUUAAUUUUUUAAUGACUCAUUCGGCGCCUUACG